UUUGGAUGGCUCCUUAACUCCCCAGAGCCUGCCUGGGGAAAGUGGUUAAUGGCGAGGGAAAUGAAAGAAAGGAUGUUACUAUACAUGUUUGCCUUGCAAUCUGUGUGUAUUUGGUGCCAUAGACAGAAAGAGAUGCGGUGUUGACCUGUUGUGAGCCCUCAUCCUCUGAGUCUGUAGGUGGCCAGCGCUGAUGGACCCCUGGUUUCCUGCUUCUAGAGAGGUAGUUAAUCGUGUUUACUGUUUCGUGCGGGUCAUUAAAGUGGCUUUUAUCACGGGGAGCAUAAUGCAACCCCACAGCUGAGGCCAGGUUUGCCGAUUUAUAUUUUUUGAGCAGGAAUCCUUGGCUCGCUCCUCUGAGCAGUGAGGGAAAAUCUGUAGAUGGCGGUAAACUUCCUGUUACCGAUCAUUCUGGUUGUGUGGUUCAAACUUUUGCACUGCCUGUGAUGAUUAUGGAUGUGCGGAUCGUGCCAGGCAUCGAUUACCCAGUGAGAUAUUUUUGGUCACCGGUUGAUCUGGGGAUGUCUCUACUGAGUAUUUUUUUUUUUUUUUUAGCGUAGCAUAUAAGUAUUCGUGUCCACUCCGCAAAGAACUGGUGGUUUGGUUUUAUUUCACCAAGUGUGGAAAAUAGCUGCCCUUCGUGGUUGACAGUUUGUUUCUGAUAUCCUGAGCCAGAUGGUGCUCAAUUAUUAUGCAUGGGAAAACGGUAUCAUCAUAAAGUUCUUUAAAGUAAAGUUUUCUUUUUUUCCCCCACACUAGUCAAGAAGUGCCGUCUUCUGAUGGAAUUCGGUGAGAAUAAAACAUAGACUGUAGGCGAUGGUGCCGCAGAUCGCAAACUGGUUCUUCCACCGUAAAGUACAAAGCAGAGAGCACCUUUUGAUCCUGUGUUCAGGGCAGUCCUCACACCCUUGUAAUCAGCCUCCAAUGCUCCCUGGAAUGGCAUCUUUCUCUCUCUUCGCCACUUCUGAGACUGGAAGCUGGGUCUCUGAAAGCGUCUCCUUGUCAUUUCUGGUAAGCACCUGCCAUGGCGUGGCUGUAGCCCAGAAUGAUGUCCGGAGGCAACAGAACGGACUAUUCUUUGCCGUACCUGGUCCACGGACUGACUGCUAUGUCAAUCUUUUGAGUAAUAUCAUAAACAGCAGUUCGACUUUCCAGAAAAUGCUCUCCAUUCACACCGUCAAAGAUGGAGCAUGAAAGAUGGGACGGUGUUCAGGGAGAGCUGUGUUCACACCGAGUGGGGUGAGUUCGUGUCUCAGACUGACCAGAACUCGACUACCUCUGUAAGAUGGAAACAGUCGCUUGGGGCCGGGCCAGGGUUCCACCUUCGAACGCUUUACAAGAAUAGCUGGGCUCUGAUGUAAUUCAGGAGCUCGGCAGAUCUAUUUUUGCUGCCUGAAAUCUUGGACAGAUUUCUUCUUUCCCAUGAAUCUGCCUGAUUUUGGUUUCUAUUAGACUUCCAUCAGUUCUUGUAGUAGAAAAAGUCUGGCAAUCUUCGUAACACUCAUCCAUCCUCUCCUAGAACAUUUGGAUCACAAAAUGAUCUCGGCAUCCUCCAAGUACAUAGUGAUGUUUUGCUGUGUGUAAUUGUCUUUGUAUCAAGUGAUUUAAUAUAGCUGUUCAAAAAGAAAGCAGUUAAGUUUUGUCUUGACUUAGUAUCUCCCUAAUUGACAUUAUUCACAAACUGAUUUCCCUUAAUUUCUUUUUUUUUUUAAGAUUUUAUUUAUUUAUUCGACAGAGACAGCCAGCGAGAGAGGGAACACAAGCAGGGGGAGUGAGAGAGGAAGAAGCAGGCUCCUAGCGGAGGAGCCUGACGUGGGGCUCGAUCCCAUAACACCGGGAUCACGCCCUGAGCCGAAGGCAAGACGCUUAACCGCUGUGCCACCCAGGCGCCCUGCCCUUAAUUUCUACUUAGGAUCAGUCCAUCAAUCUGUAUGGGUUGAUCUUGAAGUUUAAGUAGUUCUCGAAAUAUUUUUACUGUGUUGUCAAAAUAAAUUCUGAAUUGAAACUUCA
Molecule: long non-coding RNA, 2007 nt
Organism: Ursus maritimus (polar bear)
Lineage: Eukaryota; Metazoa; Chordata; Mammalia; Carnivora; Ursidae
Source: Ensembl